GCUGUUCAAGAAAUGGGACACCGUUUUAGACGAGCAAACCCAAUGUGAAAAGAGAAUCAAAAGGUGUUCAAGAAAUGGAGAAAAUCAGAUCUUCUUCGCCGGAGAGAAGCGUCCAAAGAGAAAGCCUAGACGGAUUCUGAAACAAAUAAAGAAAGCAAGUCAGGUUCAGUUUCAAGACAAGGAGAAGAGGAUAUCAAGAUACCUGCAAAACAAAAAUUUAGCAGACAAGAAGUUCUUCUUCCCACAUCCAUGGUUUCUUCCUCCAAACCCAUUUGCACCACCACAUUCGAUUUUCCCACCAAACCCAUUUGCACCACCACCUUCUAUUUUCCCACCAAAUCCGUUUAAACCUCCACCUCCUUCUAUAUUUCCUCCAAACCCAUUUCGGCCUCCACCGCCUCAUUCGAUUUUCCCACCAAACCCGUUUCAGCCUCGUCCUUCUCCUCCUCCAUCAAUAUUUCCUCCAUUGUUUCCUCGGCCACCUCCCACUCCUCCUCCAUCGUUUUUCCCUCCAAACCCAUUUCAGCCUCGUCCUCCUCAACCUCCUCCUCCAUCGAUUUUACCUCCAAUAUUUCCUCAGCCUCCUCCUCCAGCUCCAC
RNAcentral lists this long non-coding RNA (599 nucleotides) under Eutrema salsugineum. RNAcentral describes it as "long non-coding RNA (ESAL_LNC001567)". Lineage: Eukaryota; Viridiplantae; Streptophyta; Magnoliopsida; Brassicales; Brassicaceae. The record is from RNAcentral.